CCUACGGGAGGCAGCAGUGGGGAAUAUUGCGCAAUGGGCGAAAGCCUGACGCAGCAACGCCGCGUGAGUGAUGAAGGCCUUCGGGUUGUAAAGCUCUGUCUUCUGGGACGAUAAUGACGGUACCAGAGGAGGAAGCCACGGCUAACUACGUGCCAGCAGCCGCGGUAAUACGUAGGUGGCAAGCGUUGUCCGGAUUUACUGGGCGUAAAGGAUGCGUAGGCGGAUAUUUAAGUGAGAUGUGAAAUACCCGGGCUUAACUUGGGUGCUGCAUUUCAAACUGGAUAUCUAGAGUGCAGGAGAGGUAAGUGGAAUUCCUAGUGUAGCGGUGAAAUGCGUAGAGAUUAGGAAGAACACCAGUGGCGAAGGCGACUUACUGGACUGUAACUGACGCUGAGGCAUGAAAGCGUGGGUAGCAAACAGGAUUAGAUACCCUUGUAGUC
Molecule: ribosomal RNA, 440 nt
Filed under: Salmonella enterica subsp. enterica serovar Anatum
Lineage: Bacteria; Pseudomonadati; Pseudomonadota; Gammaproteobacteria; Enterobacterales; Enterobacteriaceae
Description: bacterial SSU rRNA
Rfam family: Bacterial small subunit ribosomal RNA
Source: RNAcentral